Vicugna pacos (alpaca) is the source of this 395-nucleotide non-coding RNA. The record is from RefSeq and is a predicted model, not a curated record. Lineage: Eukaryota; Metazoa; Chordata; Mammalia; Artiodactyla; Camelidae.
UGCAGGGAUCUGUCUUUCCCUUUUUCCCUGUCUUUGUGGGAAAAGAUUUUUAUAAGGCAGACUACUAGGACAUUAAGGAUUUUAUGUGGGACCUUUGUUCUUUGCCUUGUCCUUUGUUGAAGUAUUUGACAGCAAAUCCCAGAAGACAUGUCAUUUUACCCUAUGUACUCAAGUAGGCAUGUCUGAAAAAUGAGGGUCUUUCCUUUGAUCAGGUUUUUCCAUUUGACCCAUGUGCUCGUUAAGUACCAGCUGUAUCAGGCUUCUCACUAGGCAUUAGGGAUCCUUGGGGCAAUGAGACAGUCCUGGCCACCAAGGAAGUUAAGGGCUGAUGGAAGAAACCAACACAGGAGCUUAGGUGCCUCACCUAAGGUCCCUGCGGGAUGACACCAAUUGGA